This 497-nucleotide ribosomal RNA is filed under the name uncultured bacterium. Its description in RNAcentral is "partial 16S ribosomal RNA". It matches the Rfam family "Bacterial small subunit ribosomal RNA", at positions 28 to 507 of the family's 1533-position model. The record is from RNAcentral.
GACGAACGCUGGCGGCGUGCCUAAUACAUGCAAGUAGAACGCUGAAGAGAGGAGCUUGCUCUUCUUGGAUGAGUUGCGAACGGGUGAGUAACGCGUAGGUAACCUGCCUUGUAGCGGGGGAUAACUAUUGGAAACGAUAGCUAAUACCGCAUAACAAUAGGUGACACAUGUCAUUUAUUUGAAAGGGGCAAUUGCUCCACUACAAGAUGGACCUGCGUUGUAUUAGCUAGUAGGUGAGGUAACGGCUCACCUAGGCGACGAUACAUAGCCGACCUGAGAGGGUGAUCGGCCACACUGGGACUGAGACACGGCCCAGACUCCUACGGGAGGCAGCAGUAGGGAAACUUCGGCAAUGGGGGCAACCCUGACCGAGCAACGCCGCGUGAGGGAAGAAGGUUUUCGGAUCGUAAAGCUCUGUUGUAAGUCAAGAACGAGUGUGAGAGUGGAAAGUUCACACUGUGACGGUAGCUUACCAGAAAGGGACGGCUAACUACGUG